Puma concolor (puma) is the source of this 73-nucleotide non-coding RNA. The record is from the annotation of a RefSeq genome assembly. Lineage: Eukaryota; Metazoa; Chordata; Mammalia; Carnivora; Felidae.
ACCUGGCUGGCUCAGUUGGUAGAGCAUGUGACUCUUAAUCUCAAGGUUGUGAGUUCGAGCCCCACACUGGGUA